GAGCGGCGAACGGGUGAGUAACACGUGAGCAACCUACCCUUCACUUCGGGAUAAGCCUCGGAAACGGGGUCUAAUACCGGAUAUCACUCCUUNCUUCAUGGUUUGGGGUUGAAAGUUCUGGCGGUGGGGGAUGGGCUCGCGGCCUAUCAGCUUGUUGGUGGGGUAAUGGCCUACCAAGGCGUCGACGGGUAGCCGGCCUGAGAGGGCGACCGGCCACACUGGGACUGAGACACGGCCCAGACUCCUACGGGAGGCAGCAGUGGGGAAUAUUGCGCAAUGGACGGAAGUCUGACGCAGCAACGCCGCGUGAGGGAUGACGGCCUUCGGGUUGUAAACCUCUUUCAGCAGGGACGAAGCGAGAGUGACGGUACCUGCAGAAGAAGGACCGGCCAACUACGUGCCAGCAGCCGCGGUAAUACGUAGGGUCCGAGCGUUGUCCGGAAUUAUUGGGCGUAAAGGGCUCGUAGGCGGUUCGUCGCGUCGGGAGUGAAAACUCGGAGCUCAACUCCGAGCCUGCUUCCGAUACGGGCAGACUAGAGGUAGGCAGGGGAGAGCGGAACUCCU
RNAcentral lists this ribosomal RNA (564 nucleotides) under Kribbella sp. 331G01. RNAcentral describes it as "bacterial SSU rRNA". It matches the Rfam family "Bacterial small subunit ribosomal RNA", at positions 93 to 671 of the family's 1533-position model. The record is from RNAcentral. Lineage: Bacteria; Bacillati; Actinomycetota; Actinomycetes; Propionibacteriales; Kribbellaceae.